CUAUAAUGCAGUCGAGCGGACAGAUGGGAGCUUGCUCCCUGAUGUUAGCGGCGGACGGGUGAGUAACACGUGGGUAACCUGCCUGUAAGACUGGGAUAACUCCGGGAAACCGGGGCUAAUACCGGAUGCUUGUUUGAACCGCAUGGUUCAAACAUAAAAGGUGGCUUCGGCUACCACUUACAGAUGGACCCGCGGCGCAUUAGCUAGUUGGUGAGGUAAUGGCUCACCAAGGCAACGAUGCGUAGCCGACCUGAGAGGGUGAUCGGCCACACUGGGACUGAGACACGGCCCAGACUCCUACGGGAGGCAGCAGUAGGGAAUCUUCCGCAAUGGACGAAAGUCUGACGGAGCAACGCCGCGUGAGUGAUGAAGGUUUUCGGAUCGUAAAGCUCUGUUGUUAGGGAAGAACAAGUGCCGUUCAAAUAGGGCGGCACCUUGACGGUACCUAACCAGAAAGCCACGGCUAACUACGUGCCAGCAGCCGCGGUAAUACGUAGGUGGCAAGCGUUGUCCGGAAUUAUUGGGCGUAAAGGGCUCGCAGGCGGUUUCUUAAGUCUGAUGUGAAAGCCCCCGGCUCAACCGGGGAGGGUCAUUGGAAACUGGGGAACUUGAGUGCAGAAGAGGAGAGUGGAAUUCCACGUGUAGCGGUGAAAUGCGUAGAGAUGUGGAGGAACACCAGUGGCGAAGGCGACUCUCUGGUCUGUAACUGACGCUGAGGAGCGAAAGCGUGGGGAGCGAACAGGAUUAGAUACCCUGGUAGUCCACGCCGUAAACGAUGAGUGCUAAGUGUUAGGGGGUUUCCGCCCCUUAGUGCUGCAGCUA
This 822-nucleotide ribosomal RNA is filed under the name Bacillus sp. Y81_4. Its description in RNAcentral is "bacterial SSU rRNA". It matches the Rfam family "Bacterial small subunit ribosomal RNA", at positions 51 to 854 of the family's 1533-position model. The record is from RNAcentral. Lineage: Bacteria; Bacillati; Bacillota; Bacilli; Caryophanales; Bacillaceae.